RNAcentral lists this ribosomal RNA (253 nucleotides) under uncultured bacterium. RNAcentral describes it as "partial 16S ribosomal RNA". It matches the Rfam family "Bacterial small subunit ribosomal RNA", at positions 524 to 776 of the family's 1533-position model. The record is from RNAcentral.
UACGGAGGAUCCAAGCGUUGUCCGGAUUUAUUGGGUUUAAAGGGUGCGUAGGCGGAUUUUUAAGUCAGUGGUGAAAGCUUCCCGCUCAACGGGAAAAUUGCCAUUGAAACUGAAAAUCUUGAAUACGGUCGAGGUAAAUGGAAUGUGUCAUGUAGCGGUGAAAUGCUUAGAUAUGAUACAGAACACCAAUUGCGAAGGCAGUUUACUAGACCGUCAUUGACGCUGAGGCACGAAAGCGUGGGGAGCGAACAGG